Long non-coding RNA from Carassius auratus (goldfish), 3723 nucleotides. Lineage: Eukaryota; Metazoa; Chordata; Actinopteri; Cypriniformes; Cyprinidae. The record is from Ensembl.
CACGACAGCAUCCAGAAGAGAUGGAGGCGAUGGGAUCCGGAUCCGGAGCCGAAGCUGAGGAGGCACAGAACCACACGGCCAUGCUGUGGAGCAUCCAGGAGGCCGUUCAGAGGCAGACGCUGCAGAUCGGGGCCUCGGCGUGUGGAGCCACAGCGGUGGUGGACGUCCUGCAGGCGCUGGGCAUCACGGUGACUCCAGAGACGGUCGAUCACUGCGUCAGGACGAGUCUGAGGAGGAACGAGGCGCCGCUGCAUGAUUACCUGCACUCUCGCAGCAAGGCCGGGGCCACACACCUGCAGCUGGUCUCCGGGGCCGAGCAGGCCAGCGGGGGCCGUGUUGUGGGACGGUUCUUUGGCCUGUAUCCUCGGCGGAGGCUGAAGCUGGUGCCGUGGUUGGCGCACUGGAUUCGGCGUGGAGCGGUUCCCAUCGCCACCAUGAACAUGCAGCAGGCCGUUCCUGAAGGAGAAGAGAUUCCUGACGCCUGGCAUCACCAGCUCAUCUUCGGAGUCGCACCCGGUGCUGUGUUCAUGACCAACCCGCUGGACGUGGUGAGUGAAGAGGAGGUUCACGAGCGUCUGUGCAGCGAGUCUGUUCUGCUCGUUCGCCGUGAAGACGUCCUGAAGAGACUGACGCCGGACGCUCAUCUAUCACAGAUCUCAGAUCAGCAUCCCGACCUGCGCUGGAAAACAUUAAACGUGGAGGAUCAGGUCAGACAGAUGAUCAGCGAGGAAGAGCAUCCCAUGAAAACGCAUCUCGUGAUUCCCGCGGCGUACAGCUCUGGAGUGACUUUCUUCGCUCUUAGAGACUCAGAUGUUGCUCAGGAGCUUCUCAGCAGCCCAGAGCUGCCUCCGCUGUGAUUUCGUCAUCAUCAAAUCAGUGCUUAAUUAAGAUAUUCUUGAUGUCGGAUCAGUAUUUAUUCUUGGGAUUGUAAAUAGAUGUUGUCAUCCUGCUGUGUUUUGUCUCAUUCGAGAGCUUAAUGGUCGACAGCAUCAUGUUUAUCAAAUAAAAAAAGCAAGAAAUGUACAUGUUCGCUGUUUAUUUUUAUCUGUCAAUAUAAUAAGUAAAGUUAAGUCUUCAUCUCUUUUUCCCCCUCUAAAAACUAUAAAUAUGUUGACUUUUACAUGUUAAGGAUCUCAUACUUUAGCAUUUUUGUACUUUAUAUACAUUGGAAUAAUGUCUUCUUAUUGGACGCUUCAUGAAUGCUAAUUUAUUGGACAUGCAUUUAAAAAUUCCUAUAAGAAUCGGGAGCUAAGUUUCAAAGAUCCAGUUUCCUGUAUUCUGUUGUUUCCAUUAAUGCUUAAGGAUUUAUUGUGAUUAAAAACUAAAGUAGGAAAUUCCUCAAGGAUUCUGUUAUACUAAGAAAUUACAUUUACCAUAAUUCUCCACGACCUACGAAAGGAAGUUGAGAAAACAAAACACCCAAACUCUAUAUUAUAUAUUUACUUAACAAUUUCCUCUAUGAACUAUGAUUUUUUUUUUUUUUUUUUUUCCAUUAAAAAAGUAUAGCGUCAACGAGUCCGACUCACUUCGAGCGAAUCGAUUCAUUCGAACACUUCGCUUCAGUUUAAGUGAAAUGUUUAUUUUAUACUGCUGUUUAUAUGUAUGUUUUUGUUUAAAGUACACAUAUUGUACGAGCUAUUGCUGGUUUUAUGAUUCCACCUCAUUUUGCAAUUAAAUUUGACCAAACAUGAAAGGAACCGAUUCAACCCAAUGAAUCAUUUGGCGAAUCGAACAUGUAGCAUGUGAAUUUUCAGUGAGUGCACGUGGUUUGUGGUGGCAAACAAACGCUGGUCUUCUGUCCAUCACACAUUCAGAACACCACAGGAUCCCCACUGUAUCCCGCUGUUCAUCAGAAAUCACGUAAGUCAGCAAUUAUACCUAUAGAAAUGAAUGGUCAGGUUAGUUGCAUGAAACACUUGAAGGGUUAUUCCCAUGAAGUUUAUCAAACUUGCAGUUUUUGCUAUCUGGAUGAUGUUGCAGUUGUACCUUGUUAUUAUUUUGUCUUUAUGGUCAAUACCAUUGAAGUAGCUACUAGUUGUGGACUUGUUUAUAAUAUUAUUGCAUAUGCACUUUGAUAUUACCUUCCAAUAGCAUGCACAUCUGAAUCUUACAACCAUAUCAAAGUACCAUUUCUUUUAUAAAGGUUUUGCCUGACAAUCAUGGUUAUGCAUGUUAAUUACUCACAAUCAGGCACAUGAAUAUAGAGAUUUAAUGCAUCAUUAUUAUGCAUGCAUAGUAUAUGUUGUAUUUGCUGUUCAGACGAUGCCAUUACAUAAUUUCACAGUAGAAGUAAAUGAGCAACAGACCCUGAAUCUCGUGAUGUGGGUCACUCAUGUGAUGCUUGUUAACAUUCUGACUGUGAUUGUGUGUGUUUGAUUAAUUUGAUCAUUUUAUUUAGAAAGCAAAGUUAAACUAAAAAUAUAAUCUCAGUCUUAUUUAUGGUAUUUUUCCGUGCAAAGGAAAGUUUUUUUUUUUUUCACUUCGAAUGCAUGGUGUUUCGAUGUUUAUAUAUGUUCAUUUAAUGUUAUGUUUCAUGCAGAUGUAAUGCACUGAGCACAUGAUUCAGGAUGUCAGUGUUGCAGUGCUUCUGUGGUUGUUUAUGGAUGUGCUGCCUGAUGCUGCUGGAAGUUCAUGUGUGUUGGGAUUUAAGGUCUUACAGCAGCACUGAGAGGUCAGCGCUAAUAGAUGAGAUCAAACUUGCAUCACUGCAUCCUAUAGGUCAAACACUUCAUGCAAUCAGACCACCUCUUUAGAAGAAAUAAAAACAGUUUCUCAUACAGAGAGUGACAUUCUGUAGGAUAGAGGAUAAUAUAUUAUUAGUCAACAGUUAGCUCUGCAGAAGAGUUAUUUAUUUAUUUAUUUAUUAUUAUUAAAAUUAUUUGAAAUUAUAUUUCUGAAGCAUUUAUUAACCUUCAUUUUGAUUUCUACAUUAAAUAUCCACAUUAAAGAUACAAUCUGUAUCUGUACCUAAUAUUAUUUAGUGGCUAAAAAUGAACAGUUGUAUUUACAGUUGUAUUUUUUAUUUAUUAACCUAGCAACCCCCAGAACAUCCACACUAGCAACAACUUAGCAACUUCCAACUUCACCCAAAACUGCCCCUGGCAACCACCCAGAACACCACAGAAACUGCCUGGCAACCACAAAGCAAUGCUGUGAAAACUGCCUAGAAACACCCUAGCAACUGCCCCAAACUACUAAUCUACAGUAGCAAUGCUCUAGCAACCACCCAGAACACUCUAGCAGCUGCCUAGAAACCAGAUAGCAAUACCCUAGCAACUACCUGUCAACACCCUAGCAACCAAAUACAUUGCAACUACCCAAAACUCGCUGGCAAUCACAAAGCAGUGACCUAGCAACUGCCUAGGAACACAAGUUAGCAACUACCCAAAACUGCCUAGCAACCAUAUAGCAAUGCCCUAGCAAAACUCUAGCAACUGUCUAGCAAAACCCUGGCAAAUGCCUGUCAAUACCCUAGCAACCGAAUACAGUUCCCUAGCAACCACAGAGCAACUGCCUAGGAACCACAUAGCAAUGCCCUAGCAACUACCUAGCAAAACACUUGCAAUUGCCUAGCAAUACCCUAGCACUAACGGCAAAGUAACCACCCUAGCAACUACCCAAAACAGCUUAGCGACCAGUUAGCAAUGAUCUAGCAAACAACCCAAAAUACUCUUGCACCUAGCAACUGCUAUCAACACCCUAGCAACCAAAUACAAAUGCACU